Molecule: ribosomal RNA, 489 nt
Filed under: Eugongylus rufescens
Lineage: Eukaryota; Metazoa; Chordata; Lepidosauria; Squamata; Scincidae
Description: partial 16S ribosomal RNA
Rfam family: Bacterial large subunit ribosomal RNA
Source: RNAcentral
GGUCCUGCCUGCCCAGUGGAACCACUUUUAAACGGCCGCGGUAUUCUAACCGUGCAAAGGUAGCGUAAUCAUUUGUCUUUUAAAUAAAGACUUGUAUGAACGGCUAAAUGAGGAUAGCCCUGUCUCUUUUAACCAGCCAGUGAAACUGAUCUUCAAGUACAAAAGCUUGAAUACAGACAUAAGACGAGAAGACCCUGUGGAGCUUAAAACCAACACUAUAACACACCCAAAUAGCAUCGGUUUUAAGUUGGGGCGACUUCGGAAUAAAACAAAACUUCCGAGCACAGAGCCAACCACUCUUACCAAGACCAACACGUCAAAGUACAAACCUCCGACCCAGUACCACUGAACAACGAACCAAGUUACCCCAGGGAUAACAGCGCCAUCUUCUUCAAGAGUCCCUAUCGACAAGAAGGUUUACGACCUCGAUGUUGGAUCAGGACACCCAAAUGGUGCAGCAGCUAUUAAAGGUUCGUUUGUUCAACGAUU